UUAAGUUAUUAAGGGCGCACGGUGGAUGCCUUGGCACUAGAAGCCGAUGAAGGACGUUACUAACGACGAUAUGCUUUGGGGAGCUGUAAGUAAGCUUUGAUCCAGAGAUUUCCGAAUGGGGAAACCCAGCAUGAGUUAUGUCAUGUUAUCGAUAUGUGAAUACAUAGCAUAUCAGAAGGCACACCCGGAGAACUGAAACAUCUUAGUACCCGGAGGAAGAGAAAGAAAAUUCGAUUCCCUUAGUAGCGGCGAGCGAAACGGGAAGAGCCCAAACCAACAAGCUUGCUUGUUGGGGUUGUAGGACACUCUAUACGGAGUUACAAAGGACGACAUUAGACGAAUCAUCUGGAAAGAUGAAUCAAAGAAGGUAAUAAUCCUGUAGUCGAAAAUGUUGUCUCUCUUGAGUGGAUCCUGAGUACGACGGAGCACGUGAAAUUCCGUUGGAAUCUGGGAGGACCAUCUCCUAAGGCUAAAUACUCUCUAGUGACCGAUAGUGAACCAGUACCGUGAGGGAAAGGUGAAAAGCACCCCGGAAGGGGAGUGAAAUAGAACCUGAAACCGUGUGCUUACAAGUAGUCAGAGCCCGUUAAUGGGUGAUGGCGUGCCUUUUGUAGAAUGAACCGGCGAGUUACGAUUUGAUGCAAGGUUAAGCAGUAAAUGUGGAGCCGUAGCGAAAGCGAGUCUGAAUAGGGCGUUUAGUAUUUGGUCGUAGACCCGAAACCAGGUGAUCUACCCUUGGUCAGGUUGAAGUUCAGGUAACACUGAAUGGAGGACCGAACCGACUUACGUUGAAAAGUGAGCGGAUGAACUGAGGGUAGCGGAGAAAUUCCAAUCGAACCUGGAGAUAGCUGGUUCUCUCCGAAAUAGCUUUAGGGCUAGCCUCAAGUGAUGAUUAUUGGAGGUAGAGCACUGUUUGGACGAGGGGCCCCUCUCGGGUUACCGAAUUCAGACAAACUCCGAAUGCCAAUUAAUUUAACUUGGGAGUCAGAACAUGGGUGAUAAGGUCCGUGUUCGAAAGGGAAACAGCCCAGACCACCAGCUAAGGUCCCAAAAUAUAUGUUAAGUGGAAAAGGAUGUGGCGUUGCCCAGACAACUAGGAUGUUGGCUUAGAAGCAGCCAUCAUUUAAAGAGUGCGUAAUAGCUCACUAGUCGAGUGACACUGCGCCGAAAAUGUACCGGGGCUAAACAUAUUACCGAAGCUGUGGAUUGUCCUUUGGACAAUGGUAGGAGAGCGUUCUAAGGGCGUUGAAGCAUGAUCGUAAGGACAUGUGGAGCGCUUAGAAGUGAGAAUGCCGGUGUGAGUAGCGAAAGACGGGUGAGAAUCCCGUCCACCGAUUGACUAAGGUUUCCAGAGGAAGGCUCGUCCGCUCUGGGUUAGUCGGGUCCUAAGCUGAGGCCGACAGGCGUAGGCGAUGGAUAACAGGUUGAUAUUCCUGUACCACCUAUAAUCGUUUUAAUCGAUGGGGGGACGCAGUAGGAUAGGCGAAGCGUGCGAUUGGAUUGCACGUCUAAGCAGUAAGGCUGAGUAUUAGGCAAAUCCGGUACUCAUUAAGGCUGAGCUGUGAUGGGGAGAAGACAUUGUGUCUUCGAGUCGUUGAUUUCACACUGCCGAGAAAAGCCUCUAGAUAGAAAAUAGGUGCCCGUACCGCAAACCGACACAGGUAGUCAAGAUGAGAAUUCUAAGGUGAGCGAGCGAACUCUCGUUAAGGAACUCGGCAAAAUGACCCCGUAACUUCGGGAGAAGGGGUGCUCUUUAGGGUUAACGCCCAGAAGAGCCGCAGUGAAUAGGCCCAAGCGACUGUUUAUCAAAAACACAGGUCUCUGCUAAACCGUAAGGUGAUGUAUAGGGGCUGACGCCUGCCCGGUGCUGGAAGGUUAAGAGGAGUGGUUAGCUUCUGCGAAGCUACGAAUCGAAGCCCCAGUAAACGGCGGCCGUAACUAUAACGGUCCUAAGGUAGCGAAAUUCCUUGUCGGGUAAGUUCCGACCCGCACGAAAGGCGUAACGAUUUGGGCACUGUCUCAACGAGAGACUCGG
This 2035-nucleotide ribosomal RNA is filed under the name Staphylococcus aureus 09S00475. RNAcentral describes it as "bacterial LSU rRNA". It matches the Rfam family "Bacterial large subunit ribosomal RNA", at positions 3 to 2036 of the family's 2925-position model. The record is from RNAcentral. Lineage: Bacteria; Bacillati; Bacillota; Bacilli; Caryophanales; Staphylococcaceae.